Molecule: non-coding RNA, 85 nt
Organism: Felis catus (domestic cat)
Lineage: Eukaryota; Metazoa; Chordata; Mammalia; Carnivora; Felidae
Source: Rfam
GCCUGGGUGGCUCAGUCGGUUAAGUAUCCGACUUCGGCUCAGGUCACGAUCUCGCGGUUUGUGGGUUCGAGCCCCGCAUCAGGCU